This is a long non-coding RNA of Cervus elaphus (red deer), 4017 nucleotides long. RefSeq lists it as uncharacterized. NCBI's taxonomy places the organism in Eukaryota, Metazoa, Chordata, Mammalia, Artiodactyla, Cervidae. The record is from RefSeq and is a predicted model, not a curated record. The transcript is spliced from 5 exons.
AGUAGUACUGCUAUCCCAAGAGAGGGAAUCGGAGACUAUGGAAGCUUGGCAAAUGGCAGGAAGGCCACUCUCCGAAGGGGAGGCUCAUUCUGCAAAGAGGUGCUGAAGGCUGCUUGUCCCCGACCCCAUUUCCCAGCCUCCUUUGUGGUUAGCUGUGGCCGUGCGGAUGGGCAGGGGGUGGAGGGUGGUCUGUCCCUCUGGUUCUCAUCCUCUUGCACAACCUUACACUGGCUGGCCGUCCCCCUGCCUGGGGGCUGCGGAGGGUCCUGAGACAGGCGAUGGCUGGAGGGGUGUCUGGGACCAGCCCCUCACCUCCCAACCCUUGAGUUCACCGUGCAGACAGGAGGGCGUGCGCUGGGGUGGUGGCUAUGCUUAGUCGCUCGCUCGUGUCUGACUCUGUGACCCCCUGGACUGGAGCCCCCCAGGCUCCUCUGUCCCUGGGAUUCCCCAGGUACGGACACUGGGGUGCAUUGCCAUGUCCUCCUCCAGGGGAUCCUCCCAGAUCAGGCAUGGAACCUGUGUCUCCUGCUUUGGCUGGGGGACUCUUCACCACCGAGCCGCCCGGGAAGCCCACAGUUGUGCAGUGGCCCCGAUUCCCACAAACUGCUUCUGUGCCCAGUGCUGCGGGGCCCCUACCCUGCUCGAGGGCUCCUCCUGCGUUUUGGAGAGGCUGUGGGGACACCCGCGGUGGCGGAGGGCUCUGGCCCCUGCCAGCAAGAGACGGUUUCCUGAGGAUGUUGACCACGGCCUCUUCCUGGCUGGGACGAUACUGCUUGAGGUCGACUGAAGCUUUUUACACCAUCCCGGUGGCCCGGCUCGGAGGUGGGAGGCUGCCUGGCGUACCCCUGGCACCCGCCUGUGCUCUGGUCCUCUGCCCCCCACAGACCCCCCUGCACUCUGCUCCGCCAUGAGGGGUUUACAAGAGUGAGACCAGCUUGAUGUGUUUGCAAGUUUCCCUUGACAACCCAGGUUCCCCACCUGAAGUGGGAUGUUGAGGGUCUGACCUUGACCCUGGGCCUGGCCUCGCCAGGGAGGGGUGGCCUUGAGGCUGAGGGUGGCUGCCCAUUUCCAGCUAGGCAUCGGUGGCCCUCCUCUCUCCCCCGGGCCUGGUGGCGAGCGGCCCCUCUGUGUAGACAAGCUGCUGGAGCGCAGAGAGAGGGUCAGAGAGGUCACACCAGCCCGCAGGGACCCACGGGGCAGCGCGAGAAGCUGAUCGGCCCCUCCCUGGGGGUCUUCGGUUCCCACGGCCAUCAUCCUGGGUCUCUGCAGGGCCGCCCCUGAGGGCUAGUGAGGCCAACUGCACGGGGCACCUGGGGAGGAAGCAAGGGCAAGAACUGGGGACUUACGUGGCCAAGGUCCUUCUGGAUCAAACAUUUGGCAAUCAUGUGAUUAAAGCGUGGUGAGCUCCAGGCAUGCAGCAGCGCGCAACGGUCUGCCUUUAGCUGGUCUUGCUCUUCCGCCUGAACAAGGCCACGCAGGGCUGAAAACUGUGAGACCUGACUUUCCCUGGCUGCGGCUUUCCUUCCUGCACGACCCUCACCCCUUCCAAACGGGCCGUCUGCAAGUGAACUUCUCCCGCAGAGAAGAGAAGGCUUUCCCCGGGCACUGGGCGAGGUGAGCGCAGGGCUCGUGGAGGCACCGUGUGUCCUCCCCUCCUGCCGUCAGGUCCUCGACUCCCUCUCUCCAAGGCUGUGUCUGUUGCUGCAGCCAGCGAGGCCCCGAGGCUGCAGAGCCGCAGGCGAUGGUGCCCUGUGGACGUGUGGAGAGGCACCGAAGGGGAUGGACACAUACGAGUUCAGGGUGGCUCUAUCCGCUGACAUCUCCCCUGUGCAUUCCUGCGAGGCUGGAGGAGGCUGCAGGAACUCGGACGCCUACCGACGUCUUUCCAGCAGGACACGGCCUACUUCUAACUGAGAGAGACAAGGAGCAGGAGACCACGACGAAAUUACUUCCUGCUUGGAUGCUACCUCCUGGCAGUCUCUGAGGGCACAAGUUAAGGCCAUCAAGAGAUGCUGAAUUAAGAGCUAACAGCAUAUUCUAUCACCAUUUCCCUUGGGUUCUCUGAGGGUCAGAAUUCUCAGGACACAGCUUGGAGGAAACUGUGGCAGGGACUAACCUGUCACUCCCUUUUGAAACCAGAUUCCUCAAGGUAGGCGUAAAUGCUACACAAACAUAUACAGAUAUAUCUGGACAGCAGGUGUUCGUACAUAUAUUACAUACAUAGUAGUGAAGGACGAACAGUUAUGCAAAGUUAACAUGAAGGAAACCGUGACAAUCCAGGUGAAAUUAGUCGGAGGGGGAGGGGCAAAGUGGCUUCUUUAGGAACACAGAUGUCUGUGGACACAGGUCAUGGUCAUGAGGCUUACGAUGCACUGAUACAGGUUGAGAAGGUUGUACACAGAGGUCUGUCACCAGCGCCGUGAGGGUCUACUGUUACUCAUACAAACACAAAACCGACCAAUGAAGAGACAUGCUUCCUAAACAUGCAUUGCUCUGCACAUAACACCUUUAACGAAGGGGAGAGGUCUAAACGAGAGGUUUUCUUGGACGAUUCUGUACCAACAGAAAGCUCUCCUUUCCUAUGAAACGUACAAGCUCACAUCCUAACGCUACAGCUUUGUCUCCAAGACACUGAAAACACUCUGGGGACGGGGGGCGGGGGUGUGUGAAUGCAAAUGUAGAUACACGGUUCGUUAAGGCUUCGAUAAAUUAAAAAAAAAAAAAAAGUGGUCCAAAGUAUGUCACAUUUUUCUUCCCAGUUGUAAAAUCUAAAGUACAAAGUGGAGUUUAUUAAGCAUUAUUUUAAAAAACACAUCUUGGACCUAAAAUCGGCAGUUUUGACUUACCAGGAUGCACCCCAAAGUCUAAGAGGUAGAGCGGGACCUCCUGGGGCGGGGCAGGGCGGGGCGGGGCAGGCGGGCCCCUGCGCGGCUUCGCCCCCUGCUGGCAGGGCAGGAGUCGACACCGGGGUCCGCCAGGGCUGGGGUGGGGCAGCUUGUGAGGAGGCAAGAGGGGCCUAGCGCACGGCUGGGCGGGGGCGUGAGGACUGGUUAACCCAGGCGCGCUCUCUAUGGAUCCUGACAUUUCAGAGGCGACAUCCAAGACUUAGAUAACAGCGGAGUCACGUGAGAAACAGUAACUGUGAGGACAAUGAGUAGUUUGCCGCACGCUAGCUCUGUUUUCAGGGGAGCCAGUUUGGACCUGGCGAGGUCACACGGCAGCGGUCCACGCUGUCUGUCGAACAGUGUGAGAUGCAGAAAGCAGUUCAAAUAUUUUGCAAACCAUUCUUCUCAGAAUCUGUGCCUGCAUCCUUAUGUGGGAGGAACAAACCAUGUCAGGUUCUUGAAGCAUUUGUCAUCUGGCCUUAGGGAGUAUCUGGUGGGAGCUACCAAAGCGCCGUGGUAAGUAAAGGGACGUGUUUCAGGAGAAAGGAAAAGAGCACUGAGACCCACGCCUCGCCGUUUCCUGUUGCAGAGGCGGCGGGUGCAGGAGCAGACCCUGCCUGGAGCCAAUCCCUCCCCAGAUUCACCGUUAGGCCGACAAGAGGGGGGACUAGAGACACGCAGGACUUUUACAGGUGACUGGGUUAGCUGAUGUUUAAAAACCUUUCAACCACAUGCAAUAUGCAAAUUCUGGAACUGACUUCUUAACCUCAUGGCUAAAUGGCUCUUAACGGCUCUUUUCCAGGGGCCUAGAGAAGCUGGAUUCUGGUCAUUUCUAAAAAGGCAUCACUGUUAAGAGAUCCAGGGGCGGCGACAGCGUCUUCCACCCCCAGGUGUGCUGAGUGGGGUGGGCAGAGGCCCUCUGCUCUUCCUUACUGCUUCCUGAGAGUACAGUGCGACAGGGGUGGACAGCGGUCGUCACGAUCAAGAGAAAACAAGAUGCAGGCCCUGCAGCCGGGCGGCAGGUCGCCGUGCCCCAGCCUUGGCCCCGACAGCACCGCAGACCUGAGACCAGAACCCAGGCUCCCGCGGCUCUGGGAGCCCGACACGGAGCGACGCUCUCCCCAGAGUCAGG